This 451-nucleotide ribosomal RNA is filed under the name uncultured bacterium. RNAcentral's name for it is "bacterial SSU rRNA". It matches the Rfam family "Bacterial small subunit ribosomal RNA", at positions 8 to 463 of the family's 1533-position model. The record is from RNAcentral.
AGAGUUUGAUCCUGGCUCAGAUUGAACGCUGGCGGCAUGCUUUACACAUGCAAGUCGAACGGUAACAGGCCGCAAGGUGCUGACGAGUGGCGAACGGGUGAGUAAUGUAUCGGAACGUGCCCAGUCGUGGGGGAUAACGCAGCGAAAGCUGCGCUAAUACCGCAUACGAUCUAUGGAUGAAAGCGGGGGACCGUAAGGCCUCGCGCGAUUGGAGCGGCCGAUAUCAGAUUAGGUAGUUGGUGGGGUAAAGGCUCACCAAGCCGACGAUCUGUAGCUGGUCUGAGAGGACGACCAGCCACACUGGGACUGAGACACGGCCCAGACUCCUACGGGAGGCAGCAGUGGGGAAUUUUGGACAAUGGGCGCAAGCCUGAUCCAGCAAUGCCGCGUGCAGGAAGAAGGCCUUCGGGUUGUAAACUGCUUUUGUACGGAACGAAACGGUCCUGGUUAA